UAGAUUGAAGCCCGCUGGCUUGGGCUUUUAGUUGUUAACUAAAGUUUCGUAGGAUCAAAGCCUGCCGAUCUAGU
RNAcentral lists this transfer RNA (74 nucleotides) under Thecadactylus rapicauda. RNAcentral's name for it is "tRNA-Asn". The record is from RNAcentral. Lineage: Eukaryota; Metazoa; Chordata; Lepidosauria; Squamata; Phyllodactylidae.